UACGGGGGGGGCAAGCGUUGUUCGGAAUUACUGGGCGUAAAGGGCGCGUAGGCGGCCAUCUAAGUCAGACGUGAAAUCCCUCGGCUCAACCGAGGAACUGCGUCUGAUACUGGAAGGCUUGAAUCCGGGAGAGGGAUGUGGAAUUCCAGGUGUAGCGGUGAAAUGCGUAGAUAUCUGGAGGAACACCGGUGGCGAAGGCGGCAUCCUGGACCGGUAUUGACGCUGAUGCGCGAAAGCCAGGGGAGCAAACGGG
This 253-nucleotide ribosomal RNA is filed under the name uncultured bacterium. Its description in RNAcentral is "partial 16S ribosomal RNA". It matches the Rfam family "Bacterial small subunit ribosomal RNA", at positions 524 to 776 of the family's 1533-position model. The record is from RNAcentral.